Molecule: ribosomal RNA, 723 nt
Filed under: uncultured Chloroflexota bacterium
Lineage: Bacteria; Bacillati; Chloroflexota
Description: bacterial SSU rRNA
Rfam family: Bacterial small subunit ribosomal RNA
Source: RNAcentral
AACCUGGGGCUCAACUCUGGGCGUGCGGUCGAUACGGGCAUCACUGGAGUUCGGCAGGGGAGACUGGAAUUCCUGGUGUAGCGGUGAAAUGCGCAGAUAUCAGGAGGAACACCGGUGGCGAAGGCGGGUCUCUGGGCCGAUACUGACGCUGAGGAGCGAAAGCAUGGGUAGCGAACAGGAUUAGAUACCCUGGUAGUCCAUGCCGUAAACGAUGACCACCAGAUGUGGGGGGUAUCGACCCCUUCCGCGUCGGCGCCAACGCAAUGAGUGGUCCGCCUGGGGAGUACGGUCGCAAGAUUAAAACUCAAAGGAAUUGACGGGGACCCGCACAAGCAGCGGAGCGUGUGGUUUAAUUCGAAGCAACGCGAAGAACCUUACCAGGGUUUGACAUGCAUGCGACACGCUCAGAGAUGAGCCUUCCUUCGGGACGCAUGCACAGGUGCUGCAUGGCUGUCGUCAGCUCGUGCCGUGAGGUGUUGGGUUAAGUCCCGCAACGAGCGCAACCCUCGUGCUCGGUUACUGGUGUCCGAGCAGACUGCCGCGAUCAACGUGGAGGAAGGUGGGGAUGACGUCAAGUCAGCACGGCCCUGACAUCCUGGGCGACACACACGCUACAAUGGCAAGGACAGAGAGUUGCCAACCCGCGAGGGGGAGCUAAUCUCAGCAAAGCUUGUCUCAGUUCGGAUUGUAGGCUGCAACCCGCCUGCAUGAAGUUGGAGUUGC